AACAAAUGAUAUCAUUUGGAGAAUAGAGGGAUUCAGAGGAUGACAGUUUAACAGCUAUGGCAGAAGGUAACCUCCCAACAACGGGAGGAGAACUGGAGGAGAAAAAUGAGUUUCCAGCCACAGCAACAGAGGAAAGUCAAGUUACGUCAAGUGACGCUGAACUGGAUGUAUACAAUGACCCUUUAAGAGG
Long non-coding RNA from Pocillopora damicornis (cauliflower coral), 190 nucleotides. NCBI's taxonomy places the organism in Eukaryota, Metazoa, Cnidaria, Anthozoa, Scleractinia, Pocilloporidae. The record is from RefSeq and is a predicted model, not a curated record.